GAACAGGAUUGAUGUAAGUAGGCAAAGCUAAUUCAACGUCUGAAUUCUCGUAAUGGCUCACAUCUUCAUUGAGAUCAUCUCUCAGACUUUGCAACUGGAAUAAAACGCCAAGCGUUGCAGCACCGCCUGGGCAAAAUAUAUAGGAAGGAACUCCAAAUUCAUUGGCUACAUCAAUCAAAGAGGUGCAAAACAUGUCUAUGACGAUCCCACCAAGAUGCGACGAAACACAAUUGGAUAUUUCAGCAAGAACCUCCCUCACACAACUUUUAUGGUUGUCGAUAAAUCGAAACAGAAUCGAAAGAAAAGAUGACAAUUGAGAAGAAGGCUCUUCUUUCAUGAGCUCAAGGUACCUUAUGUGCAAAUUCGGAGUUUCUACCAACGAAUUUGUGUAGCUACUGACUUUUGGAUCAAAGGGCAGCUUCAUAAUCAGGACGGUGAUCGAUAAUCGUUCAUCACAUUCAACGAGAAGCUUUGCUAGUUCAACACAUGAUACUAAGUGGCCAAUCCCUGGUACAGUAACGAAAACCAGCUCUGCUUUUUUCAUUUCUGUCGUUUUCUCUGCUAACUUUAGCCAGUUGAUUGAAGAUGGAAAUCCAACCUUUAUCUCUCUGGUUUCUACCUAGCUUGCAGCGCACGCCACGUGUAUCUUAUCUGUUUACAUUAAAAGCAGAUGUGCCUUUCACACUAGUGAAUCGAGUAGAAAUCAAAACUACCAUGUUUCCAGGAUUUUUACUUGAUAAAUGUAAAUGUACUAUCAAUAAAUUGCUUUUUACUGUUGAAUUGUGAAAUUUUAUUAUCAUUAAUCAAGCUAAUCAUUAAACUCAAUAUAAAGUAGUUUCUUUCUCGUUUUGACAUUUAAUUAUCUUUAUUUAAAGUUAAAUGCACUUAAUUCUCCUCAAUUUUAUCAACUUUAUGCAUUUCAACUCAUUAAAUAGGUAUUUUGUCCCCCUACUUCAUGUUUUAGAACAAGAGUAGUUGGAUCAUUUACCCAAUCUAAUUACAAUUGUGCCAAACGUACUUGUUAUCAAAUAAGUCAAUUGUUACUUCUCUGAUGCAAGCCACUUCAUUCCAAACUUUUUGUGUUUUCCUUGGGGUGAAUUCUUAGUUUAUGAUGAAAAAAAAAAGUCAUUUUACAAUUGGGGCGGUUUUUGCAGGUUUUUCUACAAAUGGGGUGUUCGCAUUGCGGGAAUGCGAGGUCACUAUAGUGAGCUCGCAUUCCGUGAAAUUUCUUUUUCUUUUCCUUUUCAACUACCAAAUAAAUAACAUGCACUUCAUAAAAAUAACUUAUAUAAUUUUUUAAAAUAACAUUGCGUUAUGAAAUUUCUAAAAUUACAGUUGAAAUUGUAACAGAUAUUAAUGACUAUUAACUAUUACAUUCUUAUAACUAAUAUUCAUCGGUGUCAACAAAUAAAUACGAUUCAUUAAUAAUAAAGGAAAAUUAGAAUUUGAUAAAGAAAAUUAGAAUUUGAUAUAAAAAAUUUAUUUCAUAAAAAAGGAAAAAAAGUUAGUAUUUUUUUCAUAAAAUAUAGUCAACACGUUACAUGUUAACAAUUUCAUUCUAUUUUUACAUUGAUAUAUGAAAUAGAUAGAAAGAACUAUGCAUGUGUACUUUUUCCACCGUUUAGAUGUAUUAUAAUAACCGUACAAUUACCAAUUUUUUUUAAUAUAAAAGAAAUAUGAUUUUUUUUAGAGCACAUAUUUGAUGACUUUAGGCACGUUAAAGUUUUAAAAUAAAAAAAAUUUAUUCCUCUGCUAAUUACAGAUUUUUAAAUAACAUUUCUCUAACAUUUCUCCGAAAUAUAAGAUUUUAGUAGAGCUUUUAAAAUAAGAUUUUACUACCGAUAGCAUUUUAGUAAAGGCAAAUUCUACAAAACAAACAACAUUUACAGUUAAUUUUACAUUUUUUUGGGAGCUCGUAAAUUUCAUUUUAAAUUUUUUUUCUAGCAAGUUUGAAUUUAAUUUUCUGAAAGUCAUACUUAUAAAUGCGAAAUCUAACAAAAAAAUUAAAUACCAUUUUUGGAGGUCAAAUUUAUCAAAUGCGAGCUAUUUGAAGAAUUUAAAAAAAAAACAUUUAGGAGCUUGCAUUUAGCUCUUACUAUUUUCUGGAAAAAAUUCUCUAGCUCCCAAAAAAAAAGCAAAAAAAUUUAAAUAAUACUUAAGCUCGCAUUCGCGGAAUGUGAGUUCAAUAGAGUUGUGCUCAAUAAGUAGAGCUCGCAUUCCGCGAAUGCGAGCUCAAUAGAGCUGAGCUCGCAUUCCGCUAAUGUGAGCUCUACUAACCUCGCACUCGCGGAAAGCGAGGACCCCCCUACGGAAUAUCCCACCAAAAUCACCCUUGUUUUAGAAUUUUUUAAAAUUCAUCACAAAAUUGGAAAUUUCAACCCGUGGGGACAUGGACUCUUCCUUUGCUCAAUUUAUUUUUCAUUCUUCUACAAUUGUUAGAUUAAUUUCGGUUUGCUGGAAGAGACCCCCGGUGAAUUUUUGCAAAUUAAAUACAGAUGCGAGUGUAGUAAAUGGUAGGGUGUCAGGUGGUGGUUUGGUGUGUGAUCACAGAGGUAACUUGGUUUUUGCUUUCUAUAAAGAGUUGGGGGAAGCUGAGGUGUUGGAGGCAGAGAUUCAUGCAUUAUUAUUUGGUCUUCAAUUGUGUGGUGAAAGAAAUGACCAGAAUUUACAAGUUAAGGUUGAUUCUUCUUUGUUGUUUGUUUGAUUGUUUCGGGGCAAUGUCUAAAUGGCCAUUGUGCAAUUUUCUUCGUCAAAUUAGAGAGCUUUGGCAGUCACUUUCUGCGUCAGUUAGUCAUGUUAAAUUCCAUGGCGGCUAGGCUUGCCACGCUUCAUCUUCAUUCUGAUUCGCUUUUUACUUCCAUUCAACAACUUCCUUCAGUGGUUAAGGCUCGCUUGAUUUUAGAUGGUAGGGAAUUUUUGCAUGUGUAGAAAUAAAUUGUAACUUGUACGGGAGGAAUACUCCUAAUUUUUGUUUUCAUAAAUGUUCCUAGGUCUUUUCAGGCCCUUCUUAAACACUUUAUAUUUUUAUUUUAUGAUUAAUAAAAAUUAAAGGUUGGCAUCGCUCCCCUGUGUAUGGAAUUUGGCAAUAAAAAAAAAUCAAAUAAGUUAAUUGUCGCUUCUCUAAUGCCUGUCACUUCAUUUCUAACUACUUUGUUUUCUUCAUCUAUAUUUUCCUAAUUUGGAUCACACUUCUUCCCUAUUAUAUGGUCGUAAAUCAAUUUAAUUCCAAUGAAGUUUUGAACCUGUUGCCUACAAAGUUGCAUAUGAGAAUUUGCCGUAUUUUAGUCAAUUUUGAGGACUUUCCGUGUUCAUUGAGUUCAAAAUUCACAAAAUGCAAAAAAAAAAAAAAAGACGCAAGGAAAAAGAAAACUAAUCAGGUAAGAGCCUGCAAUGAUACAGUACACUCGAAGAAAAACCGUGCCACCUUCUCAAGCAUUAUAAGAGUAAACUAUGCUUUAAUUGAAUGCACCAAUUAUUGCAACUAGAAUGGCACGCACCACAACUACGUGUGACUAAAUGCUGUGAAAGACAUACUCUGCUCUCAAUGCCACAAUCAAGUUGUCAUUUUUGGUUUAGCACUAUAAUACUCCCUAAACUUUUACCAACUCCGAAGUUUAAUUAAUAAGUUUAGCUAUUCACUGUUACUAUUAACUGAAUUGUAAGUCUACAUUGUAAGUCCAUUUCACAAUCACGGAUUGUAUUUGACCUACAAAGUACCAUGGAGAAUAUUAGAAUAGCAAAUCAGAGUGCGAAAGGGAAAACAGCAGAAAGCCUAACAAGCAAAAACAGAAAAAAGCAUCGACUUUCAAAGUAAAAUUAGUUAUAGCAGAGUUAAUGGAUAUAGUAAUGGUUGAUCUUCAGCUAUGUAUUUAAGAAAACGAAGCAAUAAUGCAAUACAUUAUAACAAUUCAGAUCUGACAAACAAUUAUGGAAUACUAUCUAUUACAUCUUCAAGAAAGCACUUCAUGGAAGAAUAGGAUGAUCCUCCUUCAUUAGGAGCCAACCUGCUCUUCUCCUUCAUUUCCUUCACCUUCUCUCUGAUUUCAUUCUCAGGAUCCAUCAGAUGUUUAAUCCCUCUUUCAAUCACAUUUGCAGUCAAAGUCUCACUACUCACACCCAGUAGCAGAUCUUUUCUGAAAUCUAUUUUGAUCUCCACUGCCGUUGCCAAGUCCUUCACCAUUAAGAACGCAUUCGUCUGCUGCUCUGCAUAAAGCGGCCAAGUUGCCACUGGCACACCGCACCAAACGCUUUCCAAUAUUGAGUUCCAGCCACAGUGAGAAACAAAGCCCCCCGCAGCAGGAUGGGAUAGAACUGCCGCCUGUGGUGCCCAUCCAAUAACUUUUCCAACGGCUGCAGUUCUCUGCAAGAACCCUUCUGGCAAGACUUCAUCCAGGUUCUCAUACUCACUUGGAAACUCAAAUUUUUCUUUAGGUGAAGGCCUUCUCAAUGACCAGAGGAAUCGAUAUCCACUGCGCUCGAGUGCAUGGGCAAUUUCCUCCACUUGGUCACCAUCAAAACUACCUCCACUACCAAAGCAAAGGAACACAACAGAACAUUCUGGCUGAAGAUCUAGCCAUUUCAUAAUCAUCUCAGUUUCUUGAUUUUGACUAUUGCUUCCCUUCAGAUUCAAUACAGGCCCUACUGUAUAUACUGGUGGGAUGGUUUUAUCAUUACUCAAGGCCUGAAUCGAAUGGGAUUCUAGCUCAAGGAAAGUGUUAACUAUGAUUCCCUUGGUCUCCUUGAAUCUUCUGACCUGAUACAAGAGCAUGUCGCCACCUCCAUCCUUGUCAAAAAAUGCAGGUGACAAAAGUUUAGCUGGAACAGGAUUGAUGUAAGUAGGCAAAGCUAAUUCAUCGUCUGAAUUCUCGUAAUGGCUCACAUCUUCAUUGAGAUCAUCUCUCAGACUUUGCAACUGGAAUAAAACGCCAAGCGUUCCAGCGCCGCCUGGGCAAAAUAUAUAGGAAGGAACCCCAAAUUCAUUGGCUACAUCAAUCAAAGAGGUGCAAAACAUGUCUAUGACGAUCCCACCAAGAUGCGACGAAACAGAAUUGGAUAUUUCAGCAAG
Molecule: long non-coding RNA, 5065 nt
Filed under: Coffea arabica (coffee)
Lineage: Eukaryota; Viridiplantae; Streptophyta; Magnoliopsida; Gentianales; Rubiaceae
Description: long non-coding RNA (CARA_LNC003424)
Source: RNAcentral